AAUCCUGGCUCGGGACGAACGCUGGCGGCGCGCCUAACACAUGCAAGUCGAACGAGCGAGAGAGAGCUUGCUUUCUCGAGCGAGUGGCGAACGGGUGAGUAACGCGUGAGGAACCUGCCUCAAAGAGGGGGACAACAGUUGGAAACGACUGCUAAUACCGCAUAAGCCCACGGGUCGGCAUCGACCAGAGGGAAAAGGAGCAAUCCGCUUUGAGAUGGCCUCGCGUCCGAUUAGCUAGUUGGUGAGG
RNAcentral lists this ribosomal RNA (247 nucleotides) under uncultured bacterium. RNAcentral's name for it is "partial 16S ribosomal RNA". It matches the Rfam family "Bacterial small subunit ribosomal RNA", at positions 15 to 257 of the family's 1533-position model. The record is from RNAcentral.